This 253-nucleotide ribosomal RNA is filed under the name uncultured bacterium. RNAcentral describes it as "partial 16S ribosomal RNA". It matches the Rfam family "Bacterial small subunit ribosomal RNA", at positions 524 to 776 of the family's 1533-position model. The record is from RNAcentral.
UACGAAGGGGGCUAGCGUUGUUCGGAAUUACUGGGCGUAAAGCGUGCGCAGGCGGCUUCUCAAGUCAGGGGUGAAAGCCCAGGGCUUAACCCUGGAAUUGCCUUUAAGACUGCAUCGCUAGAAUCGUGGAGAGGUGAGUGGAAUUCCGAGUGUAGAGGUGAAAUUCGUAGAUAUUCGGAAGAACACCAGUGGCGAAGGCGACUCACUGGACACGUAUUGACGCUGAGGUGCGAAAGCGUGGGGAGCAAACAGG